UCCGUAUCCACCGUCACCACCUCCUUCACGUCUGCCACCACCACCACCGUAUCCUCCACCUCCACCGUAACCGCCGCCUCCACGGCCGCCACCUCCAGAUCCGUAACCUCCACCUCCACGUCUGUCACCGUAUCCACCGCCGCCUCCACCGUAACCACCACCUCCACGGCCACCGUAUCCACCUCCACCACGGCCUCCUCCACCGCCGCUUCCUCUAGACUGAGCCUCGUUGACGGUGAUGGUACGUCCGUCGAGCUCCUUUCCGUUCAUCUCAUCGAUAGCAUCCCUCAUGGACUUCUCAUCCUUGAAGGUCACGAAUCCGAAUCCCCUCGAUCUCCCAGUCUCACGAUCGUUAAUGAUCUGUCAAUAACCAUAUCAAAAACAACCAUCAGCAACAGAGCAAGCUGAAUGAAUCAAAAAAAGCGAUGAUGGAUGGAAACAAAGAAAUCGUAACGUUCUCCGGGCUCGUAAAAGCAGCAGGAAGAUUAAACGUACCGAUGGGACAAAGCAAGUAACAGUAGUAACAAAGAACAUAGUAACAGAGUAAUCGAAUCAAGUAACAGAGAAACACAGAUCGGAAUCAGAUCCGCCGAGGAUCAGAACCAUCCUGGAGUCCGAUCUCUCGUGUGUAACGGACCUUUGAAUCGAUAACUUCGCCGAACUGUGAGA
Molecule: long non-coding RNA, 669 nt
Filed under: Brassica rapa (field mustard)
Lineage: Eukaryota; Viridiplantae; Streptophyta; Magnoliopsida; Brassicales; Brassicaceae
Description: long non-coding RNA (BRAP_LNC000006)
Source: RNAcentral